UAUUGUCAGGACAAAGGCCCAUGCUCUC
RNAcentral lists this non-coding RNA (28 nucleotides) under Mus musculus (house mouse). Lineage: Eukaryota; Metazoa; Chordata; Mammalia; Rodentia; Muridae. The record is from RNAcentral.